AACAGCUCAAAUAAGCAAAGAGAAACAAAAGUCCAUCAUUAUUUUAGCUUUGGACAUUAGACCGGUGUAAAUCUUUCCUUUGGUCUGAUGAGUCCACAUUUGAGAUUCUUGGGACUAACAUACUCCUCAGAGGCAGCCCCAGAGCAGAAGGAACUCGUUCUACACAUCGCCUACAAUGACUAUAACAGCCUCUUGAUGAAUGGACUUUUGCCAGCCCUUGGUAAACAGGUUAAGAUGAGACAGUGCUGAUGGACGGGUUGGACGACAGACACCACAAGAUGGGUUCAGUGAGGUACAAUGUCCCUGGUCCAUGGAGAUGGACUGUCUCUUCUGGUUCUCUCAAGGACAACCAGGCUCAUAUCAAAGGCCUUCUCCCAAGGGACACACACACUACUUCAGCGGAAUAAUAUGCACGGUUGGUGGAAAAUGAAGAAGCUGAUACUUGCAUCUGGUGACUUGCAGCCGCAGGUGCAGCGUGAUGACUCAAUCACGAUUUAUGACAUUGUCUGGAUGGCUGACCAUAUAAUGGAUAUCAUAGGAGUCAAACACACCUUAUAUGUGGCUUCCUCUGGUGCGGGACAAUCCCACAGACCCUGAGAGCAUGGACACCGUUGGAGGGGUGAAGACAGAUUAAAACCUUAAUUGAGUAAAUUAAUAUUACUUUGUCAAUUAAAUUGGUUUGUUUGGUUUGUUUCAAGAGUUCUUAAAGCGCAGCACAUUUUUUUAUGUUCUAUUGUGCUGUGGGUGCUAUGGAUUUUUACUGUGUUAAUCAGUUCAAAGAGGGAGCGACACAGAUGUGCUCCUGUCAUGUAGAUAACAGUUGUGAUGAUCACAUUCAAGAAUGUGUCUGGUGUUUUUAUACCUUUGUUUAUUGUUUUGGCAAGCAAAGUGAUGUUAAUUAGACAAUGGGAGACACUGACAUUUGACUCUCUGGGAGAAUAAAAGAUGGAUUAAACCUUUGUUCAUGGUGUCAUUGUAAAACAAUCUCCUGGUGUAGGUUUCAUGACACUAUAGUGUGUUUUUAUACUUUUAAACGAAGAUGGUGUGUACCGUUUUGGUAUGUACCAUUUGAUAAUUGU
Non-coding RNA from Oncorhynchus mykiss (rainbow trout), 1079 nucleotides. NCBI's taxonomy places the organism in Eukaryota, Metazoa, Chordata, Actinopteri, Salmoniformes, Salmonidae. The record is from RefSeq and is a predicted model, not a curated record.